RNAcentral lists this ribosomal RNA (253 nucleotides) under uncultured bacterium. Its description in RNAcentral is "partial 16S ribosomal RNA". It matches the Rfam family "Bacterial small subunit ribosomal RNA", at positions 524 to 776 of the family's 1533-position model. The record is from RNAcentral.
UACGAAGGGUGCAAGCGUUACUCGGAAUUACUGGGCGUAAAGGGUGCGUAGGUGGUUUUUUAAGUCCGUUGUGAAAUCCCUGGGCUCAACCUGGGAAUGGCAGUGGAUACUGGAAAGCUAGAGUGCGGUAGAGGGUAGUGGAAUUCCCGGUGUAGCGGUGAAAUGCGUAGAGAUCGGGAGGAACACCAGUGGCGAAGGCGGCUACCUGGACCAGCACUGACGCUGAGGCACGAAAGCGUGGGGAGCAAACAGG